RNAcentral lists this ribosomal RNA (253 nucleotides) under uncultured bacterium. Its description in RNAcentral is "partial 16S ribosomal RNA". It matches the Rfam family "Bacterial small subunit ribosomal RNA", at positions 524 to 776 of the family's 1533-position model. The record is from RNAcentral.
UACAGAGGUCUCAAGCGUUGUUCGGAUUCAUUGGGCGUAAAGGGUGCGUAGGUGGCGAUGUAAGUCUGGUGUGAAAUCUCAGGGCUCAACCUUGAAAUUGCAUUGGAUACUGCGUUGCUAGAGGAUUGUAGAGGAGAGUGGAAUUCACGGUGUAGCAGUGAAAUGCGUAGAUAUCGUGAGGAAGACCAGUUGCGAAGGCGACUCUCUGGGCAAUUCCUGACACUGAGGCACGAAGGCUAGGGGAGCAAACGGG